This 3740-nucleotide ribosomal RNA is filed under the name Patescibacteria group bacterium. RNAcentral's name for it is "23S ribosomal RNA". It matches the Rfam family "Bacterial large subunit ribosomal RNA". The record is from RNAcentral.
AAAGAAAAUAAUUUUACAGGCAAAUGGUGGAUGCCUUGGGAUAUCGAGGCGAUGAAGGACGUGGCGUGUCUGCGAUAUGCUUCGGGGAGGUGACUAGCAACCUUUGAUCCGGAGAUUUCCGAAUGGGGAAACCUAAUUUUGUGACAAACAAAAUUGCUUAGUUCGCAAGAACUGAGAGCGUACCUGGGGAAGCGAAACAUCAUAGUACCCAGAGGAAAAGAGAACAAGAAGUCUCACACUUCACAAAUUUCACUAAUUUAGCGGAGCGAAUUCUGCGACAGAUUCGCGACGCGAGGAGCGAAAGCGUAUAAGCAAAGCGAUACGCGAGCGACGAGCAACAAAGAAUAUGGCCAGAAUUUGCCCGCCCUAAAGGGAAGCAAAAUAAUGGCUGACUUCUGCGAGGCUCUUCCUCAACGCAUCGUUUUCACUUAUGCGUUUCGUCAUCGCGUCUUGAAAUUCAGCGCAUUAUUUUGCUUCUAAAUAUAGCGAAAUUUGUGAAGUGUGAGACAAGUUAUUCCCUUAGUAGUGGCGAGCGAAAAGGGAAGAGCCUAAACCAAUUAUAUUUUCGCAAGAGAAUAUAAAUUGGGGUUGUAAGGGAGUAGCGUCGGGGGCACCCAGCAUUUAUUUUUUAGAAAAUAAGUGCUGGAUAUCUGCCGAGGGAGAAUAUUUAGGUAAAGUGUAACCACGUAGUGAAACUUGUUUCUACUACUGUGGUUUUCGUUAGUCGAAUGACCCUGGAAAGGGCGACAAUAUAGGGUAAUAGUCCCGUAGACGAAAACGACUUUAUGCUCCUUGCUAUUUUUCUUGAGUACUGUCGGGCAUGACAACCUGGCAGGAAGCAGGCCGAACUAUACGGCCAAGGCUAAAUACUCGAUAUCACCGAUAGUGAACUAGUACCGUGAGGGAAAGGUGAAAAGCAGGCGGGUGACGCCGGUGAAAUAGAACCUGAAACCAUUUGCUUACAAAGAGUCAGAGCUGGUCCGCAAGGACUAGUGAUGGCGUGCUUUUUGCAGAACGAGCCAACGAGUUCAAACAUUCAGCUUGUCUAAGCCCUUUUGGGGCGGAGGCACAGCGAAAGCGAGCGUUAACAGCGCGAAUUUCGCUGAAUGUUUGAGACCCGAAGCCAAGCGAGCUUACCAUGAGCAGGAUGAAUCCCGCAGAAAUGCGGGAGGAGGUCCGAACCCGUGAGCCGUGCAAUACUCUGGGAUGACUUGUGGUAAGAAGUGAAAAGCUAAUCGAGCUUGGUAAUAGCUGGUUCUCUCCGAAAUAGCUUUCGGGCUAGCGUCUUUUGUUCGACAUUGGGGGUAGAGCACUAGAUAGAGUUUCUUGGGCUUCGCUCAGAUUCUCUAACUAAACUCCGAAUACCAAUGUUUUAAGAAAGGCAGUAAGUCUAUGGGGUCUAAGCUCCAUAGUCGCGAGGAGAACAAUCCAGACCAUAAUCUAAGGUCCCUAAAUUGAACUAAGUGUAAAAUAAGGAAGUAUUCCGCCCUUGACAGGCAGGAAGUUAGCUUAGAGGUAGCUAUCUUUUAAAGAAUGUGUAACAACUCACUGUCCUAUUCAGGCAGAGUGCGCCGAAGAUUUCCGGGACUAAGUUCAAUACCGAAGAUAUGGCUGAGUACUCAAUUCGUUGAGUACUCGGGGUAGGAGAGCGUCCUUAGGGCUGUGAAGGCUCGACGUGAGUCGGACUGGAGCGCUAAGGAGUGAGAAUGUUGGCAUGAGUAACCACAAUCCCGAUGAGAUAUCGGGACACCGAAAACCCAAGGUUUCCUUGGCAAUGACAAUCAGCCAAGGGUUAGGCGAUCCUAAGGGGAAGCCGAAAGGCGUACCCGAUGGCCAGCCGGUUAAUAUUCCGGCCCGUCCAUUAGAUAAAACCAAAAAGACAAAGAAUAGUAACCUAAGCAUAUUAUUGGAUUUAUGCUUGCGACGUGAGGGGCAACCCAAGCGUUGUGAAAAUUUUCUCCUUCGGGAGGGAAAAUCUAGGCGAGCAUUCUUUCUAGAAAAUUUUUGACUAUACUAUCUAAUGGGCUUCGUACCGCAAACCGACACAGGUGGGUUGGCGUAAGUGUGCUAAGGUGAACGGGUGAUUCUUCGUUAAGGAACUCGGCAAAAAAGUGGCCGUAAGUUCGCAAUAUGGCCUUCCGUCUUCGGACGGACGCAGCUAACGUACCCCUAGCGACUGUUUAUCAAAAACACAGGUCCCUGCUAACUCGUAAGAGGAUGUAUAGGGGCUGAGGCCUGACCAGUGCUGGAAUGUUAAGCUUGAGGGUGUGUGCCGCAAGGUGCAUGCUUAUUAAGUGAAGCACCAGUGAACGUCGGCGAUAACUAUAGAAUGACGAAUUGUAGUUAUAAAACUUCGCUAUGUGCUGGAAAAACCGGGUAUAUUGAACUACUCGCCGUUAAUUUAUAUAAUUGUGAUAUUAUCACAUAAUUACUUCGCUCGGUUGAAGAACGAAAGAAAUCUUUCCUUCUUCUCCCUCGUUCGUAAUUAUAAAUUAAUGACAGUGAAAAAGUUCAAUUGCGGUCAAUCAGCAGGAAAGGCUUUUAAUUUGAAUCUUAUUUCCCAAAAGGUAGGCAGCUAUCUUAGCGGCUUUGCUGAUGGGGAGGGUAGUUUCAAUAUUUCAGUAAUAAAUAGAGAGAAGGAUUAUAGGCAUGGUUGGAAAAUAAGUUUGUGUUUUAAUAUCUCUCAGAAAGACGAUACAAUUCCCAAAUUAUUUCGAAACACUAUAAGGUGUGGAACGAUAAGAUAUAGGAAAGACGGAAUAUGUUAUUUCGAUGUAAGAAAAACAAAUGAUUUGGUAGAAAUUAUUGUACCGUUCUUUCAAAAAUUCCCAUUGCUUUCAGGAAAAAAUAAAGUUUUCAGAAUUUUCUGUAAAGCAUUGGAAAUUGUAAACAACAAAAAACAUCUUACAAAAGAUGGAAUGUGGGAGAUUUUAAAGUUACGCAACUUGAUUGUGGUGGGGAGAAAAAGAAAAUACUCUAAUAAAGAAAUACUCGAUUCUUAUUAAAAGAAUCCUCAGAGACUAUACGCGAAGCCCUGCGAGAAAAAUCUCGAUAGGGAUGAUAUAGUCCGAUCUUUAUGGCGACAUAAAGAAUCUCGUCGAAAAGACGAGUGUAACAAAAAUGAAUCGUCCAAAGGUAGCAUAAUCCCUUGCCAGGUAAGUUCUGGCCCGCAUGAAUGGCUUAACGACUGGGGGACUGUCUCAACGAAGAGCCCGGUGAAAAUGCAAUACCGGUGAAGAUGCCGGUUACUUGCGGCUAGACGGAAAGACCCCGGAAGCUUUACUGCAGUUAGAUAUUGGGUUUUGGUUUUUGAUGCGUAGCGUAGGCGGGAGACUUUGAAACCCGGAUCUCGGUUCGGGUGGAGUCGCCGAUGAAACACCGCCCUUUAAAAACCCUGAUUCUAACCCCCGCUCAGCGGGGAGGACAGUGUUUAAUGGGUAGUUUAAGUGGGGCACUUGCCUCCUAAAAGGUAAUGGAGGCGUUUAUAAGGUCGGCUAGCUCCGGAUGGAAAUCGGAGUGAUAGGGCAAAGCCAUAAGCCGGCUUUACUGCAAGACGGAUGUGUCGCGCAGUUGCGAAAGCAGAACUUAGUGAACCGACAGUGGUUAUUAGAAUCGCUGAAGAUCAUCAACCAAAAGCUACUCCGGGGAUAAACUCUGAAAAAAGAGUUUGUUGUCCAAUCUCGCAGUAAUGCGAGAAAUGUACGGCUUAUAACGGUGAACCAAGAACAGGUCUUCCUUCU